RNAcentral lists this ribosomal RNA (497 nucleotides) under uncultured bacterium. RNAcentral describes it as "partial 16S ribosomal RNA". It matches the Rfam family "Bacterial small subunit ribosomal RNA", at positions 28 to 507 of the family's 1533-position model. The record is from RNAcentral.
GACGAACGCUGGCGGCGUGCCUAAUACAUGCAAGUUGAGCGAUGAAGCUUGGUGCUUGCACCAAUUUGAAGAGCAGCUAACGGGUGAGUAACGCGUGGGUAAUCUGCCUUUUAUCGGUGGACAACAUUUGGAAACGAAUGCUAAUACCGCAUAACAACUUUAAACAUAAGUUUUAAGUUUGAAAGAUGCAUUUGCAUCACUCAAAGAUGAUCCCGCGUUGUAUUAGCUAGUUGGUGAGGUAAAGGCUCACCAAGGCGAUGAUACAUAGCCGACCUGGGUGGGUGAUCGGCCACAACGGGACUUGGACACGGCCCAAAAUCCUACGGGAGGCAGCAGUAGGGAAUCUUCGGCAAUGGACGAAAGGCUGACCGAGGAACGACGCGGGAGUGAAGAAGGGUUUCGGGUCGUAAAACUCGGUUGGUAGAGAAGAAAGUUGGUGAGAGUGGAAAGCUCAUCAAGUGACGGUAACUACACAGAAAGGGACGGCUAACUACGUG